CUCGACGUCAGGGGAUCGCCGCCGAAGUCGCCAACAAUUGCCAGUUAUAACUUAAAUAAUUGUAAGUGUUUAAUCGUGUUUUUUUUUAUGUAUUUAGGAUGGUCCACAUCAACACCGCGGUGGGCUACUGGACAACGAGGUUCGCUGUCGGAGCCACCAGGAACAGUCGCCAAAAAUUGUGAAGAGGGCUUCACCGCCAUCGAAGAGGAUGCUGGACAUCGAGGAUUGUUGCUGGAGUAAGAAGAUGGUCGCAAUGGAUGUAUCAGGUAUAUGUUAUACACGUUAAGUAAUCGUGUUUUUAUUUAUAUAUUUAGGAUGGUCCAGAUCACCAUCGAAGAGGGCAACUGGAUAGUGACGCUCGCCGACCGAACCACCAGGAUGAUGGCCUUAAGUUAUCAAGAGGGUGUCAUCAUUGCCGAAGAUGACCACUGGACAACGUGGUUCGCCGUCGUAUCCACCAGGAUUAUCGCCCAAACUUGUCAAGAGGGCUCCACCACCAUCGAAGAGCAUACUGAGCAUCGAGGAUCGCCGCUGUAGCGACGAGAUUGUCGGCACGGGUAUUGAGGUUUUUUUAAAAUACGUCUAAGUGUUAAAUCACGUGUUUUGUUUUUUUAUGUAUCCGAGAGGGCUUCACCACCACCAAAGAGGACGUUGGAGCACCGAUAUCGUACCGUGGAUGUUUCAGGUACAUCAUUUACUCGUUUAAUUGUGUAUUCAUGUUUUUGUUUUGUAAUUAGGAGGGUUCCAUCACUAGACAACGAGGUUCGCCGUCGGAGCUACAAGGAUCGUCGCCCAAUAUUGUCAAGGCGCCAUCGUCGCCGAAGAGGAACAUUGGGCAGCGUGGUUCGCCGUGGGAGUCACCAGUAUUGUCACACAAAAUCGUCAGGAGGGCCGCAUCACCAUCUGAGAGGAUGCUGGACAUCGAGGAUCGCCGCUGGAGCAACGAGAUUGUCGCAAUGGAUGUUUCAGGUAUAUUUCUUUACAUGUUUAUUUGCCUAACCAUGUUUUUUUUAUGUAUUUAGGAGGGCUCCGUCGUCGCUGAAUAGGACCACCGGACGUCGUGGAGUGUCGUUGGAGCAACGGAAAUCGCCGCCCAUUCCGUCGUACACGCCCAUUCCGUCGUACACGCCCAUU
Daphnia carinata is the source of this 1134-nucleotide long non-coding RNA. RefSeq lists it as uncharacterized. The record is from RefSeq and is a predicted model, not a curated record. The transcript has 6 exons. NCBI's taxonomy places the organism in Eukaryota, Metazoa, Arthropoda, Branchiopoda, Diplostraca, Daphniidae.